Octopus bimaculoides (California two-spot octopus) is the source of this 421-nucleotide long non-coding RNA. Lineage: Eukaryota; Metazoa; Mollusca; Cephalopoda; Octopoda; Octopodidae. The record is from RefSeq and is a predicted model, not a curated record.
GAAAAACAGUUAUGGAACAUGGUGUUAAAGUGAGGAUGACGACACAAAUUCGGCCAUAUUUUAAUUAGUGGUAUCAUAACUUGAAGAGACCAUCAGUCGUUAUACAGACAUCUUGACGUUCGAUGUGAUGUACAACUUGACGAAUAUGCAUGAGGAGACGCUAGUGACACAUUCCAACUAGAACUGAAGGUGAAUCUAAGAAGAUUGUAGAACAACUGUUUCUUUUCUGUCCAUGUUCGAAGAUAACGUUAGUGUGACUAAGGUGUUUGUAAGCAGUUGCAGCUUUUAAAUUCUAUGUUUUACCUACUUCAUUUGAAGUUUACUCUCGCAACCCGAAAAUUGAUUCCUUGGAACCAUCUGUGAAGAAUAAUGAAGAAUAUUUAAAAUAAAAUCCUAUUGUUUAAUUCUCAUUAUCUGCAAA